This 253-nucleotide ribosomal RNA is filed under the name uncultured bacterium. RNAcentral's name for it is "partial 16S ribosomal RNA". It matches the Rfam family "Bacterial small subunit ribosomal RNA", at positions 524 to 776 of the family's 1533-position model. The record is from RNAcentral.
UACGUAGGGGGCAAGCGUUGUCCGGAUUUACUGGGCGUAAAGAGCGUGUAGGCGGCCAAGCAGGUCCGUUGUGAAAACUGGAGGCUUAACCUCCAGACGUCGACGGAAACCGCGUGGCUAGAGUCCGGAAGAGGAGAGUGGAAUUCCUGGUGUAGCGGUGAAAUACGCAGAUAUCAGGAAGAACACCAAUGGCGAAGGCAGCUCUCUGGGACGGUACUGACGCUGAGACGCGAAAGCGUGGGGAGCGAACAGG